This 460-nucleotide ribosomal RNA is filed under the name uncultured bacterium. RNAcentral describes it as "partial 16S ribosomal RNA". It matches the Rfam family "Bacterial small subunit ribosomal RNA", at positions 338 to 795 of the family's 1533-position model. The record is from RNAcentral.
CCUACGGGUGGCAGCAGUGAGGAAUAUUGGUCAAUGGGCGUAAGCCUGAACCAGCCAAGUCGCGUGAGGGAUGAAGGUUCUAUGGAUCGUAAACCUCUUUUAUAAGGGAAUAAAGUGCGGGACGUGUCCCGUUUUGUAUGUACCUUAUGAAUAAGGAUCGGCUAACUCCGUGCCAGCAGCCGCGGUAAUACGGAGGAUCCGAGCGUUAUCCGGAUUUAUUGGGUUUAAAGGGUGCGUAGGCGGCCUUUUAAGUCAGCGGUGAAAGGCUGUGGCUCAACCAUAGAAUUGCCUGUGAAACUGGGAGUCUUGAGUAUGUUUGAGGCAGGCGGAAUGCGUGGUGUAGCGGUGAAAUGCUUAGAUAUCACGCAGAACCCCGAUUGCGAAGGCAGCCUGCCAAGCCAUGACUGACGCUGAUGCACGAAAGCGUGGGGAUCAAACAGGAUUAGAUACCCUGGUAGUC